GACGAACGCUGGCGGCGUGCUUAACACAUGCAAGUCGAACGGUGAAGCGCCUUCCUUUUUGGUGGGUGUGGAUGAGUGGCGAACGGGUGAGUAACACGUGAGUAACCUGCCCCCUUCUUCUGGAUAACCGCAUGAAAGUGUGGCUAAUACGGGAUAUUCUGGGUCUGUCGCAUGAUGGGUCUGGGAAAGAUAUUGUUUCGGUGGGGGAUGGGCUCGCGGCCUAUCAGCUUGUUGGUGGGGUGAUGGCCUACCAAGGCGGUGACGGGUAGCCGGCCUGAGAGGGUGGACGGUCACACUGGGACUGAGACACGGCCCAGACUCCUACGGGAGGCAGCAGUGGGGAAUAUUGCACAAUGGGCGCAAGCCUGAUGCAGCGACGCUGCGUGAGGGAUGGAGGCCUUCGGGUUGUGAACCUCUUUCGCCAGUGAAGCAGGCCUGCCUCGUUUGUGGGUGGGUUGACGGUAGCUGGAUAAGAAGCGCCGGCUAACUACGUG
Molecule: ribosomal RNA, 494 nt
Filed under: uncultured bacterium
Lineage: Bacteria
Description: partial 16S ribosomal RNA
Rfam family: Bacterial small subunit ribosomal RNA
Source: RNAcentral